RNAcentral lists this long non-coding RNA (493 nucleotides) under Triticum aestivum (bread wheat). Its description in RNAcentral is "long non-coding RNA (TAES_LNC019609)". The record is from RNAcentral. Lineage: Eukaryota; Viridiplantae; Streptophyta; Magnoliopsida; Poales; Poaceae.
AACAAAUUGUUGCUCCUUCUAUCUCCCCCAAUCAAGCACAACAAGUUAUGUAGAUAUUGCAUCUUGCAAGAUGAUUACUUACCAAACAAAAUGAACAACGAUGACACUAUACUUUAAGCAAGAUGAAUACUUCAAACAGAUUCAACAACACUAUUUAAGUACCAGUCCAUAGAUUAACCACACAUGCAGCAAGGUUUCUACAUUGGUUGCACUAGAUGUCCUCUCAGCUAACAGGCAUACAUUAAAUUAAAACUCCACCAUAAAGUACUACUGCAUAGUCUGACUAAGCCUGUAAACCAGCCAGGGUUAUGCAACUCAAUACCUACUGCAGAUCAGGCCUAGCAAUAUUGGACUGCAGAUCAGGCCUAGCAACAUUGGACUGCAGAUUAAUCACAUCGGAAAGGUGUUUGCUGAAAGCCCAUAUCUAUGGUGAUGGAGCUCAGCAUUUACAAGUCUGGAUCUCAUCUUGUACCAUGCCUAUCAACAUAUGCCU